Molecule: ribosomal RNA, 401 nt
Filed under: uncultured bacterium
Lineage: Bacteria
Description: bacterial SSU rRNA
Rfam family: Bacterial small subunit ribosomal RNA
Source: RNAcentral
AUUGAACGCUGGCGGCAUGCCUUACACAUGCAAGUCGAACGGCAGCACGGGAGCUUGCUCCUGGUGGCGAGUGGCGAACGGGUGAGUAAUGCAUCGGAACGUGCCCUGAAGUGGGGGAUAACGUAGCGAAAGUUACGCUAAUACCGCAUAUUCUGUGAGCAGGAAAGCAGGGGGAUCUUCGGACCUUGCGCUUUUGGAGCGGCCGAUGUCGGAUUAGCUAGUUGGUGGGGUAAAGGGCCCACCAAGGCGACGAUCCGUAGCGGGUCUGAGAGGAUGAUCCGCCACACUGGAACUGAGACACGGUCCAGACUCCUACGGGAGGCAGCAGUGGGGAAUUUUGGACAAUGGGCGCAAGCCUGAUCCAGCCAUGCCGCGUGAGUGAAGAAGGCCUCGGUUGUAAG